UACGGGGGGAGCAAGCGUUGUUCGGAUUUACUGGGCGUAAAGGGCGCGUAGGCGGCCUGUUAAGUCGAACGUGAAAUCCCCGGGCUCAACCCGGGAACUGCGUCCGAUACUGGCAGGCUUGAAUCCGGGAGAGGGAUGCGGAAUUCCAGGUGUAGCGGUGAAAUGCGUAGAUAUCUGGAGGAACACCGGUGGCGAAGGCGGCAUCCUGGACCGGUAUUGACGCUGAGGCGCGAAAGCCAGGGGAGCAAACGGG
This 253-nucleotide ribosomal RNA is filed under the name uncultured bacterium. RNAcentral's name for it is "partial 16S ribosomal RNA". It matches the Rfam family "Bacterial small subunit ribosomal RNA", at positions 524 to 776 of the family's 1533-position model. The record is from RNAcentral.